RNAcentral lists this ribosomal RNA (253 nucleotides) under uncultured bacterium. RNAcentral describes it as "partial 16S ribosomal RNA". It matches the Rfam family "Bacterial small subunit ribosomal RNA", at positions 524 to 776 of the family's 1533-position model. The record is from RNAcentral.
UACGUAGGGGGCAAGCGUUGUCCGGAUUUAUUGGGCGUAAAGAGCGUGUAGGCGGCCAGGUAGGUCCGUUGUGAAAACUCGAGGCUCAACCUCGAGACGUCGGCGGAAACCCUUUGGCUAGAGUCCGGAAGAGGAGAGUGGAAUUCCUGGUGUAGCGGUGAAAUGCGCAGAUAUCAGGAAGAACACCCGUGGCGAAGGCGGCUCUCUGGGACGGUACUGACGCUGAGACGCGAAAGCGUGGGGAGCAAACAGG